Molecule: long non-coding RNA, 225 nt
Filed under: Elaeis guineensis (African oil palm)
Lineage: Eukaryota; Viridiplantae; Streptophyta; Magnoliopsida; Arecales; Arecaceae
Description: long non-coding RNA (EGUI_LNC019587)
Source: RNAcentral
GCUGAAGCCUCAAUUUGGUGCCCAACUCAUAAACAAGCCAAGCUUGAACAUUUUGGGUAUAAAGAAAUAAAUGUUUGGCAUUGAUUUCAAAAAGACUCGAUCAUCUUAUAUAUCAAUUCAAUGGGCUACGGCUAAUCAUACCCCUGUCCAUAUCAUAAUGCUAUGCCCAUUUAAUUGGCGAGAGUCAAGUAUCCGACUACUGCUACAGAUUUUUAAGUGCCCUUG